UUACGGCCACACCAUGUUGAAACACCGGUGCCCGUACGAUCACUGAAGUUAAGCGACGACGAACCUGGUCAGUACAUAUAUGGGUGGCCGUUUGGGAAUUCCAGGUGCUGUAAG
Acanthosepion pharaonis is the source of this 114-nucleotide non-coding RNA. The record is from the annotation of a GenBank genome assembly. Lineage: Eukaryota; Metazoa; Mollusca; Cephalopoda; Sepiida; Sepiidae.